GGAUGCAAAGCAGGUAGGCGCCUCUCCAAUUCUGGCGCCUACCUGCUUUGCAUCCCUUUGCUGAGCGGAUAGCGCCGGGCCUGGCGGCUCUCAUUCAAUCAGCCGCAAACAUGCUCUUUCCAUAAACCUUUGCAGCAGUAAGUGGGUGAAGCACCCUCAGGGGAAUUGAGCUUACAACAGUGUGAUUCCGAAUAUACACACACACAUGCUACGAACCCACCAGCUUUAUAUAAUACUGGACAAAUUCUGGACUCACCCGGGGACGCUCGGGUUCAUCAGCCCAAAUGGAGAGGCACUGCUUCUUAGCACAGCACACAGCACAUCAGUUACAUUUGUUCCAAUUGUCUGGGAUGAAGUCCAAAUAUAUUAGGUAACAAGCAGGGAGAUAUACAGAAGGACAGUAUGAGAGAUGAACAAUACUAUACAGCAAGGACAGGAGAAGGUAGGACAUACUGUACUUAUCUCGGGUGUGAUACGCGUGCGCAACGUUCAGGAUGCCGGCAGUCAGAAGACCGACAGAGGCAUACCGAUGGAGGGAAUCCAGACAGUGGUAUGCCUAACCAUAGACCUCUAUGAUAUAGGGAAUUUUUAAAGUCCAGUUUUUCCAACUUCUGAAGCAUCAAAUCUCCAUGGAUUAUACCAGCAAAUUUUAUCCGUAAUUUCUCCUGAUGGUCAAAUUUAUCUCUCAAAUCCUGAACGCAGACCGUCUGGAAACGCAGUCAUCUGCUUCACACAGGAGACGGACGAUUCCCAGAGCUGACUUUCGCACCGCUGGCAUCACCUAAACCGCAGAAGAAUGAUUCUGGUUUUAUAAAUUGCAGAUUAAGGUGUACCUGUUACCUUCACAGUCAGCCAUUUUGUGGGCUGAUCGAAUGUUCAUAUGGUCACAAUAGAUUUACUUUUAACAUGGAAAAAUUGUAAUUUUACUUAAAACUAUAUUUUCUAUCGUUAAUUUAAUCCAACCACCCACCCUACACUACAUGAUUACAUGUGAACGGAUUGUUAUCGAGUGGGAACAGACACGUGAUUCUGCACACUUCUCCAAAACUACGAAGAGGGGCAAAUUAGGGUCACACGUGUGCUCAGGGGGUUCUGGACUGGCUGGUGAAGGGGUAAGAGAACCUGUACAUGUGCGUUAGUGAUUUCAUGAUGUGAAUUUAGAGACCAUUUAUUUCAUAUUGGUUGAUUUUUUAUUUUUGUGCUCAGUGUGGACUACCUCACUAAUUUAUGUUUCAAGACUAGUAACGAAACAAAAAAUUAAGGAUAUUAAUUUUAUUAUUAUCAGCCAGGAUUAUUCAGGUUUGUCCAGUCAACAAGGGUGUGAUACAGAAGAUCUACAUUCAUUAGGUCUACAGUCUUUAGACAAAGACAAAGGGUUGACAUAUGAAAUGUCGACACUUGAAAAGGUACAAAAGGUUGGACAGGGUCAAAAUGGUCGACAUGACAAUGAUCGGCACAAAAUGGUAGACAGACUUUUUUGCAUUUUGGGGGUUAGUGUGGAUAGUUUUGUCAUCUGGGACAACCAUUUGCAGAAAGGCGACCCCUUGCGGGCUCGCCACGCUUCGGGCACGGUGUCUCGAUUCACUCGCCACAAGGUUACUAAAGGUUAUAAUUUGUGACAUGGAUAGUUAAGGAAGGAAUAAGUCCAAAAAUAUAUAAAAAAACAACAUUUGUUGACCAUUGUCUUGUCGACCAUAUGAACCUGUCGACGUUUCCAGUAUUGACCUUUCAUAUGUUGACCUUUUGUCCAUGUCGACCUUGUGUCUGUCGACCAUAUGGGGUUGACCUAUUGACUGUCGACCUAUAGUCUGGAUCCCAGUCAACAAGGUUAUUACUGUACUAGUAAAAUGGUCCCAUCACCUCAGUCGCCCCCUCCCAAUUCAGCCCAUCCUCACCCCAGCCCUCCCCGCUGUGUUCCCUACCCCUCUCCCGGUCCUUUUCUUCACCUGGUCUGUCCCAUUAUGUCAGACAGAGCUCUCACCGCACAUGACAGAGAUGAGACAGUUUACAGCAUUAUAGAGUAUUAUAGAUAGGUAACGUAAGCCUCAUCUAGGUUUGGAUGCAUGUGGGCCUGAACUUUAGCAGCAAAAAUGCAUCAAUGAAAAAGCACAUUUGCUCAGUCUGACUAAUCUCAAAAUGUGCACUGAUCUACAACAGUAACAUAGGGGGUAAUUCAGACCUGAUCGCAGCAGCAAAUUUGUCAGCAGUUGGGCAAAACCAUGUGCACUGCAGGUGUGGCAGAUAUAACAUGUGCAGAGAGAGUUAAAUUUGGGUGGGUUAUCUUGUUUCUGUGCAGGGUAAACACUGGCUGCUUUUUUUUUACACUGCAAUUUAGAUUUCAGUUUGAACACACCCCACCCAAAUCUAAAUCUUUCUGCACAUGUUAUAUCUGACCCCCCUGCAGUGUACAUGGGGGGUCAUUCCGAGUUGAUCGCACGUGGCAACUUUUUGCUGCCUGUGCGAUCAACUCGACGACGCCUAUGGGGGAGGGCUUUUUUGCAUAGCAAGGCUGCAAACGCUUGUGCAGCCCUGCUAUGCACAAAAAGUUUUGUGUGGAACUAGACCAGGGUAACAGUUACUUACACUGGGCGAUCGAUCCAGCGAUGCAGGUCCCGGAAUUGACGUCAGACAUCCGCCCUCCAAACGCCUGCGUUGGACUCACCACUCCCAGAAAACGGUGAGUUGACACCCCGGAAUGCCUUCCUGCUGUCAAUCUUCUUGCGAUCGCAUCAGCGAUAGCGUUCUUCGUUUUUCUGGUCGUUGCCCGGCAACGGCUGUUGCCGGGCAGCGACACGCAUGCGCAUUGCGGCCGCCGUGCAGGUGCAGAACCGACCCGUUCGCACCGCUGCGACAACCAGCAGCGUGCGAACAGGUCGGAAUGACCCCCAUGGUUUUGCCCAACUGCUAACAUAUUUGCUGCUGCGAUCAACUCUGAAUUAAGCCCAUAAGCAUCAUGUGUCUAGUUUAUAUACUUAUGGCCUAAGAUAGCAUAGAGUUAGUUAGUUAUUAGUUAGUUAAUUAAUUGGUAAAAGGGAACUUUAGUUAGGAAUGAUAUAUAAUCCUCUUUAAGUGCACAGCGUGAUAGGACUUUGGUUAAUCACUGUUCUAGAUAUACGAUGUGUAAUUAAGGAUGCAAGAUUGAUAUUCAAAUAGGGUUGUAAUAUUUUACAGCUAAUACAGUAUUUAGUAGGUCAGUUGGCAUUUUUGUCUAGAAAUGUAAUAGGGCUGUAAGUUCUUGCUGAGUUAGAUAAGAAUAUAGAUUAAUCAUAUUAAUGAUAUUACAUUACUGUUAUAUUAUGUUGCAUAGUUGUUAGGAAAAGGGCUGUACUGUAGAUUAAACAUUAAUUGUCUUGUGAUUGUGACAAAAUUCCCAAUAUCUUUUCUGGUUCUUUAAAGAUUCAUGCCCAAUCAGAGCCAUAAUAGGGGUUUAAUGCAACCUGUGCAGGCCCUGCUUCCUUUGCACAUGACGUCAUUUGCACCUGGAAGCGCAGCAGUGCAGCUGUAUACACAUUAGGGUGCAGGUCUGUAAUGUCCAAAGGACGCUACAGGUAGCACUGCUGCAGCGUUACUGGCUGCAGGGUGCCGUUCCAGCAGAGCCGGCCCUAAGCAUAGGCAAACAUGGCAAAUUCCUUGUUCAUUUGGUAUGCCUAGGGGCACAAGCAGCUUCUGCUGAAUAAAAUGAUAUGCGGCUUGCACAUAUUCUGUGUGUGGCUGUGACU
Pseudophryne corroboree (corroboree frog) is the source of this 3719-nucleotide long non-coding RNA. RefSeq lists it as uncharacterized. The transcript has 5 exons. NCBI's taxonomy places the organism in Eukaryota, Metazoa, Chordata, Amphibia, Anura, Myobatrachidae. The record is from RefSeq and is a predicted model, not a curated record.